GUCGAACGGUAGAGGGGGCAACCCCUCGAGAGUGGCGAACGGGUGAGUAAUAUAUCGGAACGUGCCCAGUCGUGGGGGAUAACGUAGCGAAAGUUACGCUAAUACCGCAUACGAUCUACGGAUGAAAGCGGGGGACUCGCAAGAGCCUCGCGCGAUUGGAGCGGCCGAUAUCAGAUUAGGUAGUUGGUGGGGUAAAGGCUCACCAAGCCAACGAUCUGUAGCUGGUCUGAGAGGACGACCAGCCACACUGGAACUGAGACACGGUCCAGACUCCUACGGGAGGCAGCAGUGGGGAAUUUUGGACAAUGGACGCAAGUCUGAUCCAGCCAUUCCGCGUGCAGGAUGAAGGCCCUCGGGUUGUAAACUGCUUUUGUACGGAACGAAAAGGUCUCUAUUAAUACUAGGGGCUCAUGACGGUACCGUAAGAAUAAGCACCGGCUAACUACGUGCCAGCAGCCGCGGUAAUACGUAGGGUGCAAGCGUUAAUCGGAAUUACUGGGCGUAAAGCGUGCGCAGGCGGUUAUGUAAGACAGAGGUGAAAUCCCCGGGCUCAACCUGGGAACUGCCUUUGUGACUGCAUAGCUAGAGUACGGUAGAGGGGGGGAUGGAAUUCCGCGUGUAGCAGUGAAAUGCGUAGAUAUGCGGAGGAACACCGAUGGCGAAGGCAAUCCCCUGGACCUGUACUGACGCUCAUGCACGAAGCGUGGGGAGCAAACAGGAUUAGAUACCCUGGUAGUCCACGCCCUAAAC
RNAcentral lists this ribosomal RNA (750 nucleotides) under uncultured bacterium. Its description in RNAcentral is "bacterial SSU rRNA". It matches the Rfam family "Bacterial small subunit ribosomal RNA", at positions 61 to 807 of the family's 1533-position model. The record is from RNAcentral.